CUCUGACAAAGUGUUAUUAUUCAGAGUCCCCUUAUAAUAAGCUAGCAUGGGCUUUGCUUGACCUACAGUUUGUCCUUCUUGCUUCUGCCAUGAGCUCAUCGCCCAACUUGUGCGGUUACAUUUGAAAGGCUAUCAGAAAUAGUCUAUCUCUCCAUCUUUUCCCAGACCUUUCCAGAAGUAAGGUAUCUCACAUCUCCUGUACAAGAAGAGAAUUUAGGGAGCUUAGUGAUGAAAUGAAGUGGAUAAACAUAGCAAACACUUUCAGGCCAUAGGGGUGGUGAGAGAAGCAUUGAAGGCCGCUGUCUCUGCUGUCAGGCUGCGGGCUGGCAGGGUCAGUGGGAAAAAUGGGAAAUGAGAGGCAAGGUGUACAUUAAAUAAUCAUGCAAAACAGAAACCAACAAUCCUCCUGAGGAGCAUAUAGAAUAAUACUGUCCAAAAGGAAUAUAAUGUAAACCACGUACUUAAUUUUAAAUAUUCUAGUGUCCACAUCCAUCUCUAAAGUGGUGAUUAAAGGGACCUACCUCAUGAUGCUGCUGGAAGAUUUUAAAUGUGAAAAAUAUGUAAAAUUCUUAGCAUAGUUCCUGAAUAUAGUAAGAAUCAGUUUUGUUUCUUAAAACUUCCAUGGUUUAUUCCACAUCCAGACUGAAUUGUUGAGCUCAGAUUUAUGUGUCAUACAAACUCUGAAUGCGUAUCCAUUUAACAAUUACAUCUCCUAUUUAUAUUAUGUCCAAAUUAUUUUUCAAAUCAAGAUCGUCUUUUCUACUCCCUGCACUGAGUUAAAUGCUUUUAUUUGAUUAUCUACCUUCACUCCUUGCUCUCUUACCUGCAAAUAUAUGUUUUAUUUAUGUCAGUUAUUGAAUUAUGUUGUUGUAAUUGAGUCUUUUCUCCUGUAUACCAAGCAUGAAUGUAAGCUUCAGCAAGGCAAAGACAAUGUUUGCCUUGUUUCUCUCUAGAACAAUGCUCGACUCAUUUAGACACAAAUUUAUUGAAUGGAUAAAUAAAUGAAUGAAUGUAUUUAUGCUUUCUAGUGUUCCCAAAUGACAAUAUAGAUCUCAUCCAUCUUAUAACCCUAUUGUUUAGCACACUCUCUCAGAACGUACCAGAGCAGACUGUCAAAUGUUUGUCCAGCUGAGCAACAAUGAAACCCAUUAUCUCUACAGAGUAAUACUUUAGGUCCUUUUAUUCCCAGUAAUAGCAAAUAGUCUUUCAGUUAAUUCAUGAAGUAACAAUAGCAUCAAGGUUUCUCACUGGCUCUUUGUUCCAGUAUAACUGUGGGAAAUGAUCCACUGAGGAAGAAAGUUCAGCAGGAUAUCAAUGUGUGUCACGUGAAGAGUGUUCAGUGCUCAAAUAAAUUUGGAAAACCUUGAACUAAAUCAAGUUCAACACAUUUCUUUAUAGUUAAAAUUCUUGGGAUGUUUAAUUAGCUAAUGUGCAUUUUGAACCUCCUAGUAAGGGCUAUACAAUAACACUUUAUUUCUCACAUUUCUUUGGCCUUGAAGUACUUCAGUGCACUUUGAUGAGAAUUAAAAAAAUUAAAAAAAUCUUAACAUGGCUUAAGAGGUUUUUGAAGGACCUGUAUCUGCUCUCAUCUUAACAUAUUCUUUCUAUUGCUCAUUAAUCUCUUACCACUCUGGUGCUUUUCCUGCAUCGGGGCCUCUGCACAUGCUUCUCUCUCUGCUUUGAGCAUUUCCCUUGUAUGGCUAUCUCCUAUGUGUUUUCCAGUCCACAGUGUAAAAGCCCCUUCUUUACCAGUGUAAAUUCCCCUGGAAUGUUUAUUUGUGGCUUCUUCUUUUUAUCUGUCAUUUAUUUAUGAUAAUCUGUGGCUAAAAUUUGUGAUAGUCACAUUCUGUAUUUUAAAAUAGUUAAAAAUUACCUAUUUUUCCUUUGAUCUCAUAGUUAGGAAAUAUACCGUUGUAUCAGUUGGGCAUGUGAAAAUUCCAUAUUAUAAACAUUGUUAAUGGUGUCUAUAUUUUUGUAAAGAAUAUCCUACUUGAAAUUUGUAUCCUUGACAUAAAGUGAAAAUUUUCACUAAUCCUUUAACCAAUAAAGGUAUAGUGACAGUAACAUGUGGUAGUUAGGGGAGGGAAUUAGGGGAGAUUUGCUUUGUCAUUCAAGCUCUUCUGUGUCUAGGCUAUGCGCAGCUCCUUCCCAAGGGGUGCUCAUCGCUUUUAAUUAUGUACUUCACUGAAACCUUCAUAUUUCCAUCUCUUCUUUACCACUCCCAAACCCCUAUCAACAUGUCGUAUCCUUUAUAAUGUAUGUUUUGAAGAAAUGAAACUUCUUUAUUAUUAUUUCCUCAAGCAGAAAAUAAUAGCACAACCUGCUUCAGGAUUUACACUUAUUUAAGAAAAUACUAUGUAUUAGUCUUCCUGCAACAGCGCAUCAAAAGUUUAGCUGUCUUUCUUCUCCUU
Molecule: long non-coding RNA, 2411 nt
Organism: Herpailurus yagouaroundi (jaguarundi)
Lineage: Eukaryota; Metazoa; Chordata; Mammalia; Carnivora; Felidae
Exons: 3
Source: RefSeq, a predicted model, not a curated record